This is a long non-coding RNA of Equus caballus (horse), 2310 nucleotides long. Lineage: Eukaryota; Metazoa; Chordata; Mammalia; Perissodactyla; Equidae. The record is from Ensembl.
UUUUACACCUAACAAUCACUGCUAACUUACAGUAUUUUUUUGUGAGAAGACUAAUAAAAAGCACAGCAAAUUUAUAACACACAUACACACACACUCUGUGAGAAGACUAAUAUAAAGUACAGUAUAGUUAUAACACACGUAUAAACACACAGGCAGUUAGAGGGGAGAACGGCUGUUCAGUUAUACAUUUCAAUCCAAAUCCUCAAAAUAUGUUCUGCCCAAAGUUUGGGAACUUUUAAUAAUUAGUCAAUCAGAUAACAAAUAGGGGGAAGGCAGCUACUUGUGCUGUAGUUGCAACAAUCAAUUCAAGAAGUGAGAAAAACUCAAUUAGCCAACUAGAUUGUGUUCAAUACAUAAUAACUUACCUGAUUUUUCUCCCUGCUGGAAAUGAUAGAGUUAUGGAAACUGCCUCAAAAACUCCGAUUUUAAUUCUCUGGGUUUUUAGACUUUUCUUUGAGAAAUGAGAUAACUGUAUUUGAGUUUGAGUAAUCACUUUUGUAAUGAAUGUCUCUGUUAGUAAAGGGAAAAGAAAUUUUGAUUCAUUGAUUUGUAUAAUUUUGGAGAAGUAAUCUUUUUUCCUUAUACACCUUAAUUAUGAAGACAAAUGAAUAUUUUGUUCAAAUUCAUUGAAUGAUUAAUUACCCUAAUCUUCACCUUAAUUUUCCUAUUAGUGAUUUUUCUUGUUAAUACUCUUAGCAGGAUAAGAUCAUCUUAUAGAAUUAUUGUAGUUGCUGUUCUGGGGAAAAAAGUCUUCCAUAUUCCUUCUGUCUGUAGGAGAUCUCAGGAAAAUCUUCGACAUCAGACUGAGGCCCUGUAUUGCUACAGGUAACACUGUUUCACUCUCAUGAAAAGCAGAUGAAGUGAAGAGAUUCUGACUCUUGUCUGUUUUUAAGUAAGGUGUGGUAGGCAGCCUCCAAGAUGGCUCCGGAUGGUCCCCUUCUUGGUACUCACAUGCUGGUGUAAUCUCCUCCCCUCCAGUUGAGUUUACUGACGAGCCUCAACAAAUAGAAUAUGACCAAUAGAUGGAAUGCCACUCCUGAGAUUAGGUUCCGAAAGAUUGUAGUUGGAAUCUGGAAUUUUAAACAUUUUCCAUUCAAUAUCCCAAAGAACAAGUAAUUUCCAUUAAUUGAAGGCCAUAAAUUUCCAGAUUAAUAGGGCCCACUUCCUAUCUAGCAGAAAGAGGAAAAAAGACCAUACCAAAGCGUAUCAUCAAGAAAAUGCAGAACACUAGCACUAAAGAGAGGAUUCUAAGAGCUUCCUGACAUGAAAAAGCAGCAGGUCACGUAUGCUCAGGAAUUAUAAAGGCAUCAAGCUUCUGAGUGGCAAUACUGGCAGGUAGAAGACAAUAGAGAAAUGCUUCAUAGUCCUGAGGAAAUGAAUUCUAACUGGAAUUAUGUUCUCAACUCAACUAUAAAUCAAGUCUGAGGGUGGAAUAACAAUAUUCUCAGAUGUGCAAGAUGUCAACAUAUUCAUUGCCCACGGCCUCUCGCUCAGUGCAUAGGCGCAGAUAAGAGAAUCAAUGAAAAAGCCUGAGAUCCAGGAAACAGAGGGUUCCCAGGAGGAGAGAGAGACGACAAAGAAAAGAAGGCCCAUUAUGCCUGCUAUGCAGCUGGCCAAGGGGAACCCAGUCCACACUGGAGCCAGUGACAGGCUUCAUAGAGAAGUCCCCAAGGAAAACAGUAGAUCAGUGUCCCAGAUGCAGAAUGCAUGUGUCUUUCUGGAAGCACACUCAGAGGCCAUCUCAAACAUGCAGAAGGAUUUAGAAACAUUCAGAACCAUCAUCUCAGACUUCAAAUUUGGAAUUUGAUAAACCUCCCCAUGAUGGCCAUUUAUGAUAUUUCUCGUCAAAAUUCCUUCUUCUGGGAAAUGCGUACCCAUCUCUUAGCCUGCAUCCUAGUCCAUGUGUUUGUAGAUAGAUUUUUCAUAAUUUAGUGUAAACCUAACACCAACUCUCCAUCAAACAUCAGUCACAAGGGUUGAGUUCAGAUUUGAGUAGAUGCUUUGCUCUCUUAGUAGGCACCGGUAAAUCUUUGUAGAAAUGCUUGUACUAUUCUGGGUGUUAAACAUUUUGAAUAUAUUGCGAGGUAAUCUUGCAGCUCUGUGAACACACUAUCAGCUACCUACAAACCAUCACAUAUUCAUUUAGUCCAUAUGGGUAAAUCUUAUGUUUCUAAAAAAUUAAGAAUCUUAUCAGUCUAAUUUUAGAGAACUUUUAGAACACACAGUUUUGAGGAAAAUGAUGAGGGAUUCGUGUGUUGAUCAUCUUCACAUCAUCUUCCCUCAACACUUAAUAAAACAUAGGCUAAUGCA